RNAcentral lists this ribosomal RNA (253 nucleotides) under uncultured bacterium. RNAcentral's name for it is "partial 16S ribosomal RNA". It matches the Rfam family "Bacterial small subunit ribosomal RNA", at positions 524 to 776 of the family's 1533-position model. The record is from RNAcentral.
UACGUAGGGUGCGAGCGUUGCCCGGAUUUAUUGGGCGUAAAGGGCGCGUAGGCGGCCUGGCAAGUGGAUGGUGAAAUCCCUCGGCUUAACCGAGGAACUGCCAUCCAGACUGCUUGGCUUGAGACCGGGAGAGGUGAGUGGAAUUCCCAGUGUAGCGGUGAAAUGCGUAGAUAUUGGGAGGAACACCAGUGGCGAAGGCGGCUCACUGGACCGGUACUGACGCUGAGGCGCGAAAGCGUGGGGAGCAAACGGG